UACGUAGGGGGCAAGCGUUAUCCGGAUUUACUGGGUGUAAAGGGAGCGUAGACGGCAGGGCGAGUCUGAAGUGAAAGCUCGGGGCUCAACCCCGGAACUGCUUUGGAAACUGUCCGGCUUGAGUACCGGAGGGGUAAGCGGAAUUCCUAGUGUAGCGGUGAAAUGCGUAGAUAUUAGGAGGAACACCAGUGGCGAAGGCGGCUUACUGGACGGUAGCUGACGUUGAGGCUCGAAAGCGUGGGGAGCAAAC
RNAcentral lists this ribosomal RNA (250 nucleotides) under uncultured prokaryote. RNAcentral's name for it is "partial 16S ribosomal RNA". It matches the Rfam family "Bacterial small subunit ribosomal RNA", at positions 524 to 773 of the family's 1533-position model. The record is from RNAcentral.